This 405-nucleotide ribosomal RNA is filed under the name uncultured bacterium. Its description in RNAcentral is "partial 16S ribosomal RNA". It matches the Rfam family "Bacterial small subunit ribosomal RNA", at positions 28 to 526 of the family's 1533-position model. The record is from RNAcentral.
GAUGAACGCUGGCGGCGUGCCUAAUACAUGCAAGUCGAGCGAAGCGUGGACGUGUGAGUAACACGUGGAUAACCUCCUAUAAGACUGAGAAAACUUCGGGAACCCGGAGUUAAACCCGAUACCUCUCUAUGGAUCCCCGCUGCAUUAGCUAGUUGGUAAGGUACCGACUUACCAAGGCAACGAUGCAUAGCCGACCUGAGAGGAGGAGCGGCGACACUGGAACGGAGACACGGUCCAGACUCGUACGAGAGGCAGCAGUAGGGAAUCUUCCGCAAUGGGCGCAAGCCUGACGAAGCAACGCCGCGUAGGACGUGGAGGUCUUCGGACCGUAAAACGCUGUUAUGAGGGAAGCGGUGCCUGAUCAGAAAGCCAAUGCUGACUACGUGCCAGCAGCCGCGGUAAUAC